This 2619-nucleotide ribosomal RNA is filed under the name Salmonella enterica subsp. enterica serovar Hadar. Its description in RNAcentral is "partial 23S ribosomal RNA". It matches the Rfam family "Bacterial large subunit ribosomal RNA". Lineage: Bacteria; Pseudomonadati; Pseudomonadota; Gammaproteobacteria; Enterobacterales; Enterobacteriaceae. The record is from RNAcentral.
AAUCCAUAGGUUAAUGAGGCGAACCGGGGGAACUGAAACAUCUAAGUACCCCGAGGAAAAGAAAUCAACCGAGAUUCCCCCAGUAGCGGCGAGCGAACGGGGAGGAGCCCAGAGCCUGAAUCAGCAUGUGUGUUAGUGGAAGCGUCUGGAAAGGCGCGCGAUACAGGGUGACAGCCCCGUACACAAAAGCGCAUGUGCUGUGAGCUCGAUGAGUAGGGCGGGACACGUGGUAUCCUGUCUGAAUAUGGGGGGACCAUCCUCCAAGGCUAAAUACUCCUGACUGACCGAUAGUGAACCAGUACCGUGAGGGAAAGGCGAAAAGAACCCCGGCGAGGGGAGUGAAAAAGAACCUGAAACCGUGUACGUACAAGCAGUGGGAGCACCCUUUGGGGUGUGACUGCGUACCUUUUGUAUAAUGGGUCAGCGACUUAUAUUCUGUAGCAAGGUUAACCGUAUAGGGGAGCCGGAGGGAAACCGAGUCUUAAUUGGGCGUUAAGUUGCAGGGUAUAGACCCGAAACCCGGUGAUCUAGCCAUGGGCAGGUUGAAGGUUGGGUAACACUAACUGGAGGACCGAACCGACUAAUGUUGAAAAAUUAGCGGAUGACCUGUGGCUGGGGGUGAAAGGCCAAUCAAACCGGGAGAUAGCUGGUUCUCCCCGAAAGCUAUUUAGGUAGCGCCUCGUGAAUUCAUCUCCGGGGGUAGAGCACUGUUUCGGCUAGGGGGCCAUCCCGGCUUACCAACCCGAUGCAAACUGCGAAUACCGGAGAAUGUUAUCACGGGAGACACACGGCGGGUGCUAACGUCCGUCGUGAAGAGGGAAACAACCCAGACCGCCAGCUAAGGUCCCAAAGUCAUGGUUAAGUGGGAAACGAUGUGGGAAGGCCCAGACAGCCAGGAUGUUGGCUUAGAAGCAGCCAUCAUUUAAAGAAAGCGUAAUAGCUCACUGGUCGAGUCGGCCUGCGCGGAAGAUGUAACGGGGCUAAACCAUGCACCGAAGCUGCGGCAGCGACGCUUAUGCGUUGUUGGGUAGGGGAGCGUUCUGUAAGCCUGUGAAGGUGGCCUGUGAGGGUUGCUGGAGGUAUCAGAAGUGCGAAUGCUGACAUAAGUAACGAUAAAGCGGGUGAAAAGCCCGCUCGCCGGAAGACCAAGGGUUCCUGUCCAACGUUAAUCGGGGCAGGGUGAGUCGACCCCUAAGGCGAGGCCGAAAGGCGUAGUCGAUGGGAAACGGGUUAAUAUUCCCGUACUUGGUGUUACUGCGAAGGGGGGACGGAGAAGGCUAUGUUGGCCGGGCGACGGUUGUCCCGGUUUAAGCGUGUAGGUGUGUGUUCCAGGUAAAUCCGGUUCACUUUAACACUGAGGCGUGACGACGAGGCACUACGGUGCUGAAGCAACAAAUGCCCUGCUUCCAGGAAAAGCCUCUAAGCAUCAGGUAACAUCAAAUCGUACCCCAAACCGACACAGGUGGUCAGGUAGAGAAUACCAAGGCGCUUGAGAGAACUCGGGUGAAGGAACUAGGCAAAAUGGUGCCGUAACUUCGGGAGAAGGCACGCUGACACGUAGGUGAAGUGAUUUACUCAUGGAGCUGAAGUCAGUCGAAGAUACCAGCUGGCUGCAACUGUUUAUUAAAAACACAGCACUGUGCAAACACGAAAGUGGACGUAUACGGUGUGACGCCUGCCCGGUGCCGGAAGGUUAAUUGAUGGGGUCAGCGCAAGCGAAGCUCCUGAUCGAAGCCCCGGUAAACGGCGGCCGUAACUAUAACGGUCCUAAGGUAGCGAAAUUCCUUGUCGGGUAAGUUCCGACCUGCACGAAUGGCGUAAUGAUGGCCAGGCUGUCUCCACCCGAGACUCAGUGAAAUUGAACUCGCUGUGAAGAUGCAGUGUACCCGCGGCAAGACGGAAAGACCCCGUGAACCUUUACUAUAGCUUGACACUGAACAUUGAGCCUUGAUGUGUAGGAUAGGUGGGAGGCUUUGAAGUGUGGACGCCAGUCUGCAUGGAGCCGACCUUGAAAUACCACCCUUUAAUGUUUGAUGUUCUAACGUGGACCCGUUACCCGGGUUGCGGACAGUGUCUGGUGGGUAGUUUGACUGGGGCGGUCUCCUCCUAAAGAGUAACGGAGGAGCACGAAGGUUGGCUAAUCCUGGUCGGACAUCAGGAGGUUAGUGCAAUGGCAUAAGCCAGCUUGACUGCGAGCGUGACGGCGCGAGCAGGUGCGAAAGCAGGUCAUAGUGAUCCGGUGGUUCUGAAUGGAAGGGCCAUCGCUCAACGGAUAAAAGGUACUCCGGGGAUAACAGGCUGAUACCGCCCAAGAGUUCAUAUCGACGGCGGUGUUUGGCACCUCGAUGUCGGCUCAUCACAUCCUGGGGCUGAAGUAGGUCCCAAGGGUAUGGCUGUUCGCCAUUUAAAGUGGUACGCGAGCUGGGUUUAGAACGUCGUGAGACAGUUCGGUCCCUAUCUGCCGUGGGCGCUGGAGAACUGAGGGGGGCUGCUCCUAGUACGAGAGGACCGGAGUGGACGCAUCACUGGUGUUCGGGUUGUCAUGCCAAUGGCACUGCCCGGUAGCUAAAUGCGGAAGAGAUAAGUGCUGAAAGCAUCUAAGCACGAAACUUGCCCCGA